UACAGAGGUCUCAAGCGUUGUUCGGAUUCAUUGGGCGUAAAGGGUGCGUAGGCGGCGCGGUAAGUCGGAUGUGAAAUCUCGGAGCUUAACUCCGAAACUGCAUUCGAUACUGCCGUGCUUGAGGACUGGAGAGGAGACUGGAAUUUACGGUGUAGCGGUGAAAUGCGUAGAUAUCGUAAGGAAGACCAGUGGCGAAGGCGGGUCUCUGGACAGUUCCUGACACUGAGACACGAAGGCCAGGGGAGCAAACGGG
This 253-nucleotide ribosomal RNA is filed under the name uncultured bacterium. RNAcentral describes it as "partial 16S ribosomal RNA". It matches the Rfam family "Bacterial small subunit ribosomal RNA", at positions 524 to 776 of the family's 1533-position model. The record is from RNAcentral.